UACGUAGGGGGCUAGCGUUGUCCGGAAUCAUUGGGCGUAAAGAGCGUGUAGGCGGUCCGGUAAGUCCGCUGUGAAAGUCGGGGGCUCAACCUCGAGACGUCGGCGGAAACCAUCUGGCUAGAGUCCGGAAGAGGAGAGUGGAAUUCCUGGUGUAGCGGUGAAAUGCGCAGAUAUCAGGAAGAACACCAGUGGCGAAGGCGGCUCACUGGUCCGGUACUGACGCUGAGGUGCGAAAGCGUGGGGAGCAAACAGG
RNAcentral lists this ribosomal RNA (253 nucleotides) under uncultured bacterium. RNAcentral describes it as "partial 16S ribosomal RNA". It matches the Rfam family "Bacterial small subunit ribosomal RNA", at positions 524 to 776 of the family's 1533-position model. The record is from RNAcentral.